This 173-nucleotide ribosomal RNA is filed under the name uncultured bacterium. Its description in RNAcentral is "partial 16S ribosomal RNA". It matches the Rfam family "Bacterial small subunit ribosomal RNA", at positions 335 to 525 of the family's 1533-position model. The record is from RNAcentral.
ACUCCUACGGGAGGCAGCAGUGGGGAAUCUUGCGCAAUGGGCGAAAGCCUGACGCAGCCAUGCCGCGUGAAUGAUGAAGGUCUUAGGAUUGUAAAAUUCUUUCACCGGGGACGAUAAUGACGGUACCCGGAGAAGAAGCCCCGGCUAACUUCGUGCCAGCAGCCGCGGUAAUA